RNAcentral lists this transfer RNA (64 nucleotides) under Plectoderini sp. SX-2018. Its description in RNAcentral is "tRNA-Leu". The record is from RNAcentral. Lineage: Eukaryota; Metazoa; Arthropoda; Insecta; Hemiptera; Achilidae.
GUUAGAUUGGCAGAUUAAGUGCUUUAAAUUUAGAAUUUAAAAAUGUAGUUUAUUACAUCUAAUA